CCGCAGCAGCUUCUUGGAACUCGGCCUCCGCCGACGCGUGAAAGGUCCGAGUUGUGGACCAAGGGAAGAGAAAGGGAGAGAGGUUUUAAUCCGCUUCCCUGCGGUUAUUUACCAAUUGCCAGGAUGCGAUUCUAAUCCCCGUGAAGUAAUCGAUUUAUACGCCGCUUAUCUUCCUGUAUCUUUUUAACACGCAUGAAAUUGGUGAAAUAGGACUUAUUGAAUGGAAUGGACAAAGAAACAGACGACGAAGGAGACCGAGUUACAGGGGUCCAUGAUAGACUUUUAAUCUUUGCCUGUCUGAAGCCCAUUAGCUGCCAUUAAGCAUAGGCAACUCUGAGUCACACUAGUGGUCUGAUUCAUGUAAGAGGAUUUCUAUAUAUUAUGAAGGAAAAGGAAGCAUGACAGAUACCUUUAUGCAUAUAUAAGAAAGAUCGUUUAUGAAGAUGCUGAAGAACAUUGGACUCAAGACAGAAUUUUGAAGUACCCUACUGCAUGCUUCCCUCCAUGUAGAUGUAAUUCCAUUAAGGACCAUACACUGAAUGCGUUUGGUCAGCCAACUGCAAAUCCAUUUGGUAGUGGUACUGUCUAUCCCACAUUGUUCUAUCUUACCAAGACGAAAAUUGUGGUUUAUUUUGCCAAAUGCCUUAUUGAAGUACAAGUAAACUAUAUUCAUAACAUUUCUCUGAUCCACUAAUUUAGUCACUUUAUUAUGUUAUCUAUGUGUCUCUGUUUUUACUUCUAAGGUGUAAUUAAUUGAAAGAGAAUGGCUGUUCUAUAUGUUUUUCUGCAAUUUCACACAUUUGUAAAAUAAUGUUUAUUUUUGAAAUGCUAUAAACAGUAUGGAAAUGUUAGGAACAUGUGUAAGACAGGACUUUGAAUUCAUUAAGCGAUUAUAGAGUCUUUAAAUAAAUAAAAAAAAUUUAA
Pantherophis guttatus is the source of this 924-nucleotide non-coding RNA. The record is from RefSeq and is a predicted model, not a curated record. NCBI's taxonomy places the organism in Eukaryota, Metazoa, Chordata, Lepidosauria, Squamata, Colubridae.